CCUACGGGGGGCUGCAGUGGGGAAUAUUGGACAAUGGGGGCAACCCUGAUCCAGCCAUGCCGCGUGUGUGAAGAAGGCCCUCGGGUUGUAAAGCACUUUCAGUGAGGAAGAACGCCUGGUGGUUAAUACCCAUCAGGAAAGACAUCACUCACAGAAGAAGCACCGGCUAACUCCGUGCCAGCAGCCGCGGUAAUACGGAGGGUGCGAGCGUUAAUCGGAAUUACUGGGCGUAAAGCGCGCGUAGGUGGCUUGAUAAGCCGGUUGUGAAAGCCCCGGGCUCGACCUGGGAACGGCAUCCGGAACUGUCAAGCUAGAGUGCAGGAGAGGAAGGUAGAAUUCCCGGUGUAGCGGUGAAAUGCGUAGAGAUCGGGAGGAAUACCAGUGGCGAAGGCGGCCUUCUGGACUGACACUGACACUGAGGUGCGAAAGCGUGGGUAGCAAACAGGAUUAGAUACCCUUGUAGUC
This 465-nucleotide ribosomal RNA is filed under the name Vreelandella stevensii. RNAcentral's name for it is "partial 16S ribosomal RNA". It matches the Rfam family "Bacterial small subunit ribosomal RNA", at positions 338 to 795 of the family's 1533-position model. The record is from RNAcentral. Lineage: Bacteria; Pseudomonadati; Pseudomonadota; Gammaproteobacteria; Oceanospirillales; Halomonadaceae.